Long non-coding RNA from Magallana angulata, 557 nucleotides. RefSeq lists it as uncharacterized. NCBI's taxonomy places the organism in Eukaryota, Metazoa, Mollusca, Bivalvia, Ostreida, Ostreidae. The record is from RefSeq and is a predicted model, not a curated record. The transcript has 3 exons.
CCUCCCCCUCACCCACACUAUUUAACUCUAGGGCUGGAUGGUUUUGGCCAUUAGUAGGCUAAAUCAAUCUCCUUCAGAUGAAGAGCUCUGUAAAAUUUUAUGGCAGAGACUAAGAGUAAAUUAGUUGACCAUGCAUCCAGCCAUCUUACAAGUGGGAUAGAGCAUUACCUAUGGAUCUAGGGUGUCCCAUACCAUCUUAAACAAAUUGCAAAGGGCGGACCAGUCUAACUGCCCAAAAGUACCAUGGAGUCAGUCUUAAGGACAGUAUGUGACAACAUACUAACCCAAAGAUUCUGAGUUGGAAUAGGACUUUUGUUUACAUGUAUAUUGCAUAAAUAGUUUUUUUUAUUGUUGUCAUGAUUUCAAAUGGUCCUCGUACAUGCUAGAACAAACAUGCUUGAUCAAACAUUUUAAAUUUUUUUAUCGAAUUUCAGACUAGAUAGUAUUUUAUCAAUUUAUCCAUCUGUGUGUGUCUGUACAAAGAAAAAACUGAAUUUACCGCUAUCAUAAUAAUCGGAUGGUUUAUAACAUUAAUAUUUGUUAUGAUUGCAAUUUCG